Molecule: ribosomal RNA, 250 nt
Filed under: uncultured bacterium
Lineage: Bacteria
Description: partial 16S ribosomal RNA
Rfam family: Bacterial small subunit ribosomal RNA
Source: RNAcentral
UACGUAGGGUGCGAGCGUUAAUCGGAAUUACUGGGCGUAAAGCGUGCGCAGGCGGUUCGUUAAGUCUGAUGUGAAAGCCCCGGGCUCAACCUGGGAAUGGCAUUGGAGACUGGCGAGCUUGAGUGUGGCAGAGGGGGGUGGAAUUCCGCGUGUAGCAGUGAAAUGCGUAGAGAUGCGGAGGAACACCGAUGGCGAAGGCAGCCCCCUGGGCUGACACUGACGCUCAGGCACGAAAGCGUGGGGAGCAAAC